GGCAGUGUAGCCAAGUGGUUACGGCGUCACGUUUAGGUCUCUUUCGGUGCAGGUCGAAAAGCAAUACCGUGAUGGGUUUCCCGCGCGAGUUCGAAUCUCGUCACUGUCA
Cerrena zonata is the source of this 109-nucleotide non-coding RNA. NCBI's taxonomy places the organism in Eukaryota, Fungi, Basidiomycota, Agaricomycetes, Polyporales, Cerrenaceae. The record is from the annotation of a GenBank genome assembly.